This 315-nucleotide ribosomal RNA is filed under the name uncultured bacterium. Its description in RNAcentral is "bacterial SSU rRNA". It matches the Rfam family "Bacterial small subunit ribosomal RNA", at positions 28 to 334 of the family's 1533-position model. The record is from RNAcentral.
GAUGAACGCUAGCGACAGGCCUAACACAUGCAAGUCGAGGGGCAACAGGGAACAAGCUUGCUUGUUCUGCUGGCGACCGGCGCACGGGUGAGUAACACGUAUGCAACCUGCCCGUCACAGGGGGAUAACCGGGGGAAACCCCGCCUAAUACCCCAUAUUAUAUAGUUAUUGCAUGAUGAUUAUAUGAAAACCUUGGUGGUGACGGAUGGGCAUGCGGUGCAUUAGCUAGUUGGUGAGGUAACGGCUCACCAAGGCGACGAUGCAUAGGGGUUCUGAGAGGAAGGUCCCCCACACUGGUACUGAGACACGGACCAG